AGUGAAGCAUAAUCUGGGAUCUUAUUAAAAUAAGAUUCUGAUUCGACACAUUUGAGAUAAUGCCCAGAGUCUUCAGUCUUAACAAGUUCCCAGUUGGUGUCAAG
Molecule: microRNA precursor, 104 nt
Filed under: Marmota monax (woodchuck)
Lineage: Eukaryota; Metazoa; Chordata; Mammalia; Rodentia; Sciuridae
Source: RNAcentral